AUUGAACGCUGGCGGCAUGCCUUACACAUGCCAGUCGAACGGUAACGGGCCUUCGGGUGCCGACGAGUGGCGAACGGGUGAGUAAUACAUCGGAACGUGCCCGAUCGUGGGGGAUAACGAGGCGAAAGCUUUGCUAAUACCGCAUACGAUCUACGGAUGAAAGCAGGGGACCGCAAGGCCUUGCGCGGACUGAGCGGCCGAUGGCAGAUUAGGUAGUUGGUGGGAUAAAAGCUUACCAAGCCGACGAUCUGUAGCUGGUCUGAGAGGAUGAUCAGCCACACUGGGACUGAGACACGGCCCAGACUCCUACGGGAGGCAGCAGUGGGGAAUUUUGGACAAUGGGCGCAAGCCUGAUCCAGCCAUGCCGCGUGCAGGAUGAAGGCCUUCGGGUUGUAAACUGCUUUUGUACGGAACGAAAAGCCUUCUUUUAAUACAGGAGGGUCAUGACGGUACCGUAAGAAUAAGCACCGGCUAACUACGUG
Molecule: ribosomal RNA, 482 nt
Filed under: uncultured bacterium
Lineage: Bacteria
Description: partial 16S ribosomal RNA
Rfam family: Bacterial small subunit ribosomal RNA
Source: RNAcentral